RNAcentral lists this non-coding RNA (148 nucleotides) under Nomascus leucogenys (northern white-cheeked gibbon). Lineage: Eukaryota; Metazoa; Chordata; Mammalia; Primates; Hylobatidae. The record is from Rfam by way of RNAcentral.
GCUGGGUGUGGUGGCGCAUACCUGUAAUCCCAGCUACUAGGGAGGCUGAGGCACAAGAAUUGCUUGAACCCAGGAGGCGGAGGUUGCAGUGAGCCGAUAUCAUGCCACUGCCCUCCAGCCUGGGUGACAGAGUGAGACCUUGUCUCAA